RNAcentral lists this ribosomal RNA (227 nucleotides) under uncultured bacterium. Its description in RNAcentral is "partial 16S ribosomal RNA". It matches the Rfam family "Bacterial small subunit ribosomal RNA", at positions 260 to 504 of the family's 1533-position model. The record is from RNAcentral.
ACGGCCUACCAAGUCGACGAUCCGUAGCCGGACUGAGAGGUUGAACGGCCACAUUGGGACUGAGACACGGCCCAGACUCCUACGGGAGGCAGCAGUGGGGGAUAUUGCACAAUGGGGGAAACCCUGAUGCAGCAACGCCGCGUGAAGGAAGAAGGUCUUCGGAUUGUAAACUUUUGUCCUCAGUGAAGAUAAUGACGGUAGCUGAGGAGGAAGCUCCGGCUAACUAC